This 256-nucleotide ribosomal RNA is filed under the name uncultured bacterium. RNAcentral's name for it is "partial 16S ribosomal RNA". It matches the Rfam family "Bacterial small subunit ribosomal RNA", at positions 521 to 776 of the family's 1533-position model. The record is from RNAcentral.
UAAUACAGAGGGUGCAAGCGUUAAUCGGAAUGACUGGGCGUAAAGGGUGCGUAGGUGGCGAAUUAAGUUAGAUGUGAAAUCCCUGGGCUUAACCUAGGAACUGCAUUUAAUACUGGUUUGCUAGAGUAUGGGAGAGGUAAGUGGAAUUUCCGGUGUAGCGGUGAAAUGCGUAGAUAUCGGAAGGAACACCAGUGGCGAAGGCGGCUUACUGGCCUAAUACUGACACUGAGGCACGAAAGCGUGGGGAGCAAACAGG